RNAcentral lists this ribosomal RNA (499 nucleotides) under uncultured Glomeromycotina. Its description in RNAcentral is "partial small subunit ribosomal RNA". It matches the Rfam family "Eukaryotic small subunit ribosomal RNA", at positions 591 to 1091 of the family's 1831-position model. Lineage: Eukaryota; Fungi; Glomeromycota. The record is from RNAcentral.
CCAAUAGCGUAUAUUAAAGUUGUUGCAGUUAAAAAGCUCGUAGUUGAAUUUCGGGAUCAGUGGGUCGGUCGUGCCACUGGUAUGCACUGGCCCUACUGGUUCCUCCUUCUUGAAGAACUGUAAUGCCAUUAAUUUGGUGUUGCAGGGAAACAGGACUGUUACUUUGAAAAAAUUAGAGUGUUUAAAGCAGGCAAUCGCUUGAAUACAUUAGCAUGGAAUAAUGAAAUAGGACGAUCGAUCCUAUUUUGUUGGUUUCUAGGAUUGACGUAAUGAUUAAUAGGGAUAGUUGGGGGCAUUAGUAUUCAAUUGUCAGAGGUGAAAUUCUUGGAUUUAUUGAAGACUAACUACUGCGAAAGCAUUUGCCAAGGAUGUUUUCAUUAAUCAAGAACGAAAGUUAGGGGAUCGAAGACGAUCAGAUACCGUCGUAGUCUUAACCAUAAACUAUGCCGACUAGGGAUCGGAUGAUGUUAAUUUUUUAAUGACUCAUUCGGCGCCUUAC